Molecule: long non-coding RNA, 1083 nt
Organism: Equus quagga
Lineage: Eukaryota; Metazoa; Chordata; Mammalia; Perissodactyla; Equidae
Exons: 4
Source: RefSeq, a predicted model, not a curated record
CUGGUUCACAGGAGAGGUUUGAGGUUGGGCUUACCUAACUUCCCUUGACAGACAGGCCAGGCUCGAGCAAUUGGGAACUCAGUCAUUCUGAAAAGUGAGGUUUCCACGAUGGGGCUUGAGAAAAAUACAAAUUGGUAAACAGAGACGUUUGAAUUUUCGUUAGAAUGAGACUUUAAAAAAUAGAUCUUUUCUGUAUUCCCAGUCCAAAUAAGUGGGGAGAUUGCAUUCAAAGGACUUUGUCUGGGGAACUUACUCUAGCGGCGGCUCUCUUGCUCUCCUUGAAUUGGUUCGCCCAUGCUGGUAACUGGCACUUGCUAGAACACCUUGUCUGGUGAGUUCAGGAGAACAAGGAGCUAAACAUAAUCUGCAGUAGGAAACAGAGACAGCUGAUGGAUUCGUAGACAAUGUUACAUGGAGUUAAGUGUUGUAUCCUCUUUAUUCUUUUAGAGGUCUGCUUGGUAACGUGAAAGACACGUUCGUCCAGUGCCUGAAAUACCCUUCACAGUGUGUUCCCAUUACAAGGGCUUGGGAAUAGUCACCUGAAGUGAGCACACCAUUUCUACUGUGGUCUUUGAUUUUUUUGCUUUAUAGGGAUUAGCAUACAUGUUUCUGAAAAUUGAAAAGUCAGGAGAGUAGAGGGGAUAGACGUGCUCAAAGCAGGCAAUGAAAUCAUCCACUGAAGCAUGUGUGGUCCACGGUGGAGCUGGUGUUUGAAUCUUCUGCUGCCUUUCCUCAGGCUGUGCCUUUAUUGCUUCCGCUCACAGCUGGAAUAGGAUUUGAGUGGAAAUGUGAUUGGAGUGGAAGGCAUCAGGGAGGGAGCCUGAGCUGAGACCACAUCUUGAAAACACAGAAUUGAGGGAGCAGAUGGAAGAAAGAAAGUCAGCAGGCUUGGAGGAUGAUGAUAACCCAAAGAAGAUUAAGGUGCUGGUGGAGGAGGUGCGUUGGCAAAGGAGCUGGAUGACCUGUCCUGACCCACGACCCUGAACCUCAGCCAGAUUGCAGCCUCUCAGAACCAAUGCUUGGACUCCAUGUUGGCUCCAAGCCCUCAACACUACCAAAGUCUCCAGAGGAAACAGCUGGUGU